Molecule: non-coding RNA, 30 nt
Filed under: Rattus norvegicus (Norway rat)
Lineage: Eukaryota; Metazoa; Chordata; Mammalia; Rodentia; Muridae
Source: RNAcentral
UCCAAGUACCCAGUUUCUUUUGGUCUCUGC